CCGUGUGGCAGCCGCGGCCGCCGCCGUGUACAUUUUCGCGCGCACAGGGGAUCCGCCUGCCUGACGGGGCCGUGGUGCGGGCGCGGCGGCAGCGCUUCGGAAUCGCGGCUACCGCAACAACGUCCCAGGAUGGCGCAGCGGAGCGUGAAUGACGGCCGGCACCGCCGGCGCCGGGUGCGGCGACGGUCUACGGUGGGAGGCCUGUGGGGGAUCCAGUGUGGAGACGUGGCUGUGGCGGAGGCAGCCCCCUGUGGGAGCGGCUGUGGAGCCGGGCACCUGGCAUGGCCCUUGGCCGGGAAGCGCUGGGUGGCGGGGAGAGGCGGGACCGGAGUGGCGGGGCCAGGCCCGUCCCUGCUGCCGUGCUGGGUGACAGCGCCCAGGGUGCGAUGGGGUGAACCGAACUCUUCCUCCUGGAACAGCCAAGGAACGUAGACAGCCAAGGCCUGAGGAGAAGCGGCGGCAGUCCCCGAGCCCAGCACCGUCGCCGGGGAACGGAAGGUUGCGCAGGAGGAGCAUCUGCCUGCUGGUGCCUUGCGAGACCCACCCACUGGUGCAGCGUGUGCUGGGCUGUGCGUGACUGUGCUGCCCGCUGCCGGAGCAGCGACUGGCCCGGGCAAGGCUGCUGUGCCCUCAGCGCGAAGCUGGGGGCCAAAACGAAUGGGGAUCGGAGCUCUGCGGUGGCUGUGGCAGAACCACGGGCUUCACAGGUCUGGUGCCGACCUGCUUCUACACCUCCUUCAGAGCAGUACUGCCGGCUUCCCUGAGAAGGAACUAAGCUACUGCUCUCUCUUGACAGCCCCUGGACCUGGACCUGGGCGAAAACAUCAUAGCCAGGAUCCAGAAGGAGAGGGAGGCAGCGCUCUCGCCGGCUCUUGGGGCCUAAGAUGUGGUCCCCAGCACCAGUGGGAAAGGUAUGUCCCUGGGCACAGUCAUCGCCCGGGGCUCCUCAGGCACCAACUGCACACAGGCAGCGUUUGCAGCCACAACAUCGGUCGUUUCUGGGCUGGCCGCUUUUACCACCACCGGCCUUACUCACACCAGCCAGCCCAGAAGCAGGAGCGUGCCCGUGCUGGGAGGUGAGUCAGGGCAGAUGGGCCUUCUGCGGGGGUGAAGAGCAGGGCUAGAUCUAGGCAGCAGCUUUCCUGCCGGACCUGGCUGAGCUUCCCAGGCUCAGCAGCCCUGAGAGGCUGGUGCUCGGGCUGUGCAGAGCCUUGCCGUGCGAAGGGAAGGUGCUUCCGUCACUCUCUGCCCCAGUCCCCAGCCCUGGGGGGUGGAGGGGAAUCUGAAAUGCCGCUCCUUGUCCCCUCUGGAUGCAAUGGAGGCGUCGGUUCCUGUGCGUGCUGCCAGCUCCCUAAAGCCAGGCUCUUCCUCCUUUGCCGACCCCGACUCACAGUGGUGUGUUGCUUUCCAGGAACUCCUGUGCCCUUCUGUGGCCAGCGCCCCUCAGGCCUUGGAGGAGACGGCGCUUCCUCUGGUAGAGAGGGAGUUUAUGCUUCAGCCUGGAGGAGCUGAUGGGUCGUGUUGACCCCUUGGGCUGGGGGAUGGCGGAAGGGCCAGGCUGUGCUGUAGGAGCCGGCUCGGGUGGUAGCUGCUGGGAUCCGGGGAUGCAAAACCUUCCUUUCCACCUGGGACAGGGACUGUGGUAACCCCUGUGCCAGCUCGGAGCGCGGCUGCAGAGACCUGAGCAAACCUUUGUGCUUCCAGGUUCGUCCACCCCUGCCUCUUCGACCCGACCAAGAUCCAGGAUUGAGGGAACUCGUAAGCGGAUAAAGGCACAGAUCAAGCAUUCCCGCAAUAAGUAACAGCCAGUGCUGCUGGCCCCCCAGCUGCAAGGGCUCUGGUCCGGAGCAGCCCCAAGGCGGGACUGGAGUGAUGGGGCCAGGCCAGUCCCUGCUGCCGGCAAGAAACCGUCCUGGGUGGCAGCGCCUGGAGUGGGACAGGGUGAACCGAACUCUUGCUUCUGGAACAGUUCCACCACCAAGGCUGGAUGAACCUCUCUGCAUCUCUGCACUUGUUAUACUGUUGUUAUUGUUGUUCUAUUGUUGUUCUAUUGUUGUUAUACUGCUGUUGAUUUAUUGUUAUUACACUCUUCUUCUACCACAGUUGUCAUACUGUUGUUUAUACUCUUUUUACUACCAUUGUACUAUUGUUUUACUGUGAAUACACAAUUUUCCCUCCUUCCCCCUCCAGCUUUUUAUAUCCCCCACUUAAAAUAAACAGACUGUGGUUCA
Strigops habroptila (Kakapo) is the source of this 2231-nucleotide long non-coding RNA. Lineage: Eukaryota; Metazoa; Chordata; Aves; Psittaciformes; Psittacidae. The record is from Ensembl.